AACGGAGGGUGCAAGCGUUGUUCGGAAUUACUGGGCGUAAAGCGCGUGCAGGUGGUCAUCUAAGUUCUGUGUGAAAUCCCUCGGCUUAACCGAGGAACUGCGCAGAAUACUGGAUGACUUGAAUACGGGAGAAGUGGGCGGAAUUCCCAGUGUAGAGGUGAAAUUCGUAGAGAUUGGGAGGAACACCGGUGGCGAAAGCGGCUCACUAGACCGAUAUUGACGCUCAUACGCGAGAGCGUGGGUAGCAAACAGGAUUAGAAACCCUGGUAGU
This 271-nucleotide ribosomal RNA is filed under the name uncultured bacterium. Its description in RNAcentral is "partial 16S ribosomal RNA". It matches the Rfam family "Bacterial small subunit ribosomal RNA", at positions 524 to 794 of the family's 1533-position model. The record is from RNAcentral.